CCAGAGAACUUAGCAGAGAUGCUUUGGUGGCCCUUCGGGGAACUCUGAGACAGGUGCUGCAUGGCUGUCGUCAGCUCGUGUUGUGAAAUGUUGGGUUAAGUCCCGCAACGAGCGCAACCCUUAUCCUUUGUUGCCAGCGGUUAGGCCGGGAACUCAAAGGAGACUGCCAGUGAUAAACUGGAGGAAGGUGGGGAUGACGUCAAGUCAUCAUGGCCCUUACGAGUAGGGCUACACACGUGCUACAAUGGCGCAUACAAAGAGAAGCGACCUCGCGAGAGCAAGCGGACCUCAUAAAGUGCGUCGUAGUCCGGAUUGGAGUCUGCAACUCGACUCCAUGAAGUCGGAAUCGCUAGUAAUCGUGGAUCAGAAUACCACGGUCGAAUACGUUCCCGGGCCUUGUACACACCGCCCGUCACACCAUGGGAGUGGGUUGCAAAAGAAGUAGGUAGCUUAACCUUCGGGAGGGCGCUUACCACUUUGUGAUUCAUGACUGGGGUGAAGUCGUAACAAGGUAAGCGUAGUGCU
This 525-nucleotide ribosomal RNA is filed under the name uncultured bacterium. Its description in RNAcentral is "bacterial SSU rRNA". It matches the Rfam family "Bacterial small subunit ribosomal RNA", at positions 988 to 1509 of the family's 1533-position model. The record is from RNAcentral.